This 737-nucleotide long non-coding RNA is filed under the name Zea mays. Its description in RNAcentral is "long non-coding RNA NONZMAT002033". The record is from RNAcentral. Lineage: Eukaryota; Viridiplantae; Streptophyta; Magnoliopsida; Poales; Poaceae.
AUCAAUUCAUCACGCUGAUUUGAAAAAGAACAAUAAAUAAGAAAAUAUUGACAAUAAAUUGUGUGGCUCUGUCGAUUCAUUUUUUAUUUUGAAACUGCCCCUGCCCUUCGAUCCGGUCUAUCUCCGUCCCUACUUGGCAGAGCCUGACUUCCAUUCCAUCUCGAUCUCGGCGAUGCCGCGCAUGGCGCGACGCACAGCAAUGACUUCGCGAAGUCGCGAAGCUGCACGCGUCUAGCGAGCGCGUGUAGCUCGCCCCCCCCUGGCGGAAGCCGCCACCACAGGCAUGGCAUCUGGCUGGCGGAGCAUUCGUCUGGCCGGCGUCAGACAUGACGCGGCCGAGAUCAAGCCGGAGACGGUUCGUGGCCUCUUCUCACCACCACAGCCGCAGCCUCCCAGUCGCCAGGAUACUAGGAUGCGCUCGUGAAGACUUUCCAUUACGUUGAAUCAAAGGUGAGAUCACAUAGACCAUGCCCUGCACCUGUUGGUUGUUUUGCUCAAGUGAAUCUUCAGUGCAUCUUUUUCUAUAUUUUGCUUUGUUGUCCGUACGAUUAUACGAACGUCAGGGUUGGGUUAUCUUAACAAUCCACGUUCACAAUUUUCUACUAAAUAAUCUAUGCUUAUUCAUCUUAGUAUUGUGAUUCUUAGGAUCCCCUGUCCUGAUCACACGUUUCAGAUUCUAAUGUACCUCCAAUACAACUCAUAUAUUAGUUUCUACUAAUUUUAUUUCAUGGAUACUU